UACCUAUCAUUUCUAACUUUGGGAAUCUUUCUUUUAGGUGAGACGUGGAAUCCGUUAAAACUGCAUUAUCAAUUAAGAAACGUGAGGGAACGAUUAGCUAAAAACCUGGUAGAAAAGGGCGUAUUGACAACCGAGAAACAGAACUUCCUUCUUUUUGACAUGACGACACAUCCCCUCACCAACAACAGCAUUAAGCAGCGCCUCAUCAAGAAGGUGCAGGAAGCCGUUCUCGACAAGUGGGUGAACGACCCUCACCGCAUGGACAAGCGCCUGCUGGCCCUCAUCUACCUGGCCCACGCCUCGGAUGUCCUGGAGAACGCGUUCGCGCCCCUCCUGGACGAGCAGUACGAUUUAGCCACCAAGCGGGUGCGGCAGCUCCUGGACUUAGACCCUGAGGUGGAGUGUCUGAAGGCCAGCACCAACGAGGUGCUGUGGGCAGUGGUGGCCGCCUUCACCAAGUGACGCUGCGCAGAACCGAGCGUCCUCCUUUCUCUCGCGGGAACCAGUCGUUUUUCUUCCAGGGACUCCUGGUUUUCUGCAGUUUGUACUUCCCACACUAUAAUUGGCUUUUGUUUUAUGAAAUGGUGGGUGGCUUUUUCUUUUGUGUAUGUAUGCAGGAUUCUGCUGGUACGAGAGGCCUUCCUCUUUCUGUUGUGGAAAAAGUUUCACCGCCAUACUGGCAUUCCAUUGCUCGUUGCCAUCCUCACUGUUGCCCGUUUGGGUUCUGGUGUGCUUUGACUGUCAGAGUACCUCCAGGUUCCUCACACGCACAUCUUUUGGAUUACCUCAGGUUGAGUUUCUCCCACAUGUGCACGUACAUCUCGCAUUCUGCCUGCAAUUCAGACAGAAGUCACAAAAAGGCCUUUAACUCACCAAAGGUAAAUAUCUGUAUCUAUUAGGACAUUUUAUACAUAGACCUCAGUUGAGAUGUAUACUUAGCAAAAUUAUUUUUAAAUUGAAAUACACAGUAAAUAAUAUAAAGUGCCCCUUGGAUCUUGCUUUCCAUGUAAAUCUAUUGUAUUAUUACACUUGUCAUAAUUUUAACUAUUAAGUCAUAAAGGUCCAAUUGUUUCACACAGCCAGUUUGGGAUGAGCUGCAUUCCAGUUAUGCUGUAUAUAGUUUGAAUUAUAUAGAAGUUGUUCCUUCUUCUGGCCACCACUGCCCAUCUUAGUAUUUUGCAGGGUUUAAUUAGUUGUACACCUGGUGCCCCUUACUUGCUGCAGGCAUUGUAAUUUGAUGGCAAAAUAGACCUCUCAUCAUUGAAGGAGAGAGAAAACGUGUGUCUAAUUGGUCCCAAGAUUUUUUGAGCUGUGCCAUUCAUGGUACUCUUUGCCUAUGCAUCUCCUCUCUGGAAUUUUUUUCAGUCUUAUUAUUUUUAUCAUUUCUGUAGAGAAGAGGCUUGUGACCAGUACUAAUCUUGAGUACAGUUUUAUCUUUUUCUGUCCACAAGUAAAUUAAUGUCUGCUCUUAAAUAAAUAUCUACUCACACUUUCUUGGGGGAAGAAAAUCAAAUGUCAGCACUAGCAGAUGUUGCAUGUAAAUCGUUAGCAAGUAACGACUACAACUCAGAUGAUUAAGAGUUUUGUAGCAGAAAGCUCUGCUGUGUUUUAAUUUUUAUAUACAAUUAUGAUAAUUAGCACAUUGUAAGAAUAUAAACCUUUGCUUUUUAGAGUUUAUUUUUACUAUUUCUUUAUCAUUGUUUAUCGUAUCACCAUUGGUUUCAUAAUGUAAAUACUAUAUAUUGAACAAAUUAAAUGUCAAAUUUUUUAUUACCAUAGUUCAUGUUACUAGUGGGGCUUUCAGGUGUUUAGAGACUUUUCUGGUUAACAUUCACUUCAAAAGUACUAGAUGGUGUAUAACUCUAGAGCUGAAUUUUAAGGGAUUCCCUAAUAUGUAUACUAUCUUUUUAUCUGAAGUAAUAAAUAAACUAUGAUCUUGAAAGUGCCUGAAUCAGA
Delphinapterus leucas (beluga whale) is the source of this 1956-nucleotide non-coding RNA. The record is from RefSeq and is a predicted model, not a curated record. NCBI's taxonomy places the organism in Eukaryota, Metazoa, Chordata, Mammalia, Artiodactyla, Monodontidae.